RNAcentral lists this ribosomal RNA (503 nucleotides) under uncultured bacterium. RNAcentral describes it as "partial 16S ribosomal RNA". It matches the Rfam family "Bacterial small subunit ribosomal RNA", at positions 28 to 523 of the family's 1533-position model. The record is from RNAcentral.
GAUGAACGCUAGCGAUAGGCCUAACACAUGCAAGUCGAGGGGCAUCACGGAGUAGCAAUACUUUGGUGGCGACCGGCGCACGGGUGAGUUACGCGUAUGCAAUCUACCUACAACAGGGGGAUAACCCGGAGAAAUCCGGACUAAUACCGCAUAACACAGGGGUCCCGCAUGGGAUUAUUUGUUAAAGUUUUAUCGGUUGAAGAUGGGCAUGCGUUCCAUUAGGUAGUUGGUGAGGUAACGGCCCACCAAGCCUGCGAUGGAUAGGGGAACUGAGAGGUUUGUCCCCCACACUGGAACUGAGACACGGACCAGACUCCUACGGGAGGCAGCAGUGAGGAAUAUUGGUCAAUGGGCGAGAGCCUGAACCAGCCUAAUCGCGUGAAGGAAGACUGCCUUAUGGGUUGUAAACUUCUUUUGUACAGGAAUAAAAAGAGGGACGUGUCCUUCAUUGCAUGUACUGUACGAAUAAGCAUCGGCUAACUCCGUGCCAGCAGCCGCAGUAA